GUGAAUCAUCAAAUUUUUGAACGCACAUUGCACUCUCUGGUAUUCCGGAGAGCAUGCCUGUUUGAGGGUCAGUAUAAAUAAAAAUCGGUGUGGUUGCUGCUUUUCGUGGUGACGCAGCGGAUUUGGGUCGGCUUGCCUUCGGUUAAGUGUCCUAAAAUUUUGCAUGAUUUUUUUCGAACGUAUUUAAAUGAUUUUACGUACGUUUGCCAUGUCUAACAAUACG
This 223-nucleotide unclassified non-coding RNA is filed under the name Glomus sp. RNAcentral describes it as "partial contains 5.8S ribosomal RNA and internal transcribed spacer 2". The stretch from base 1 to 71 matches the Rfam family "5.8S ribosomal RNA", at positions 84 to 154 of the family's 154-position model. The record is from RNAcentral. Lineage: Eukaryota; Fungi; Glomeromycota; Glomeromycetes; Glomerales; Glomeraceae.